Molecule: non-coding RNA, 308 nt
Organism: Pelobates cultripes (western spadefoot toad)
Lineage: Eukaryota; Metazoa; Chordata; Amphibia; Anura; Pelobatidae
Source: the annotation of a GenBank genome assembly
UGACAGUAGUCCUUUCGUCUUAUUUUCAUUUGGAGAAGGAGUUAUAGUUUAUUAAUUGAGGUACUCCCAAGACGAGAGCAGAUCUAUUUCACCAUGUAUAGUAGCUAAACCUGCCAAUUGACAAUUGUGGUUUAACUCAGAUGGACUAUCAUGAUUUGAAAGGUUUUGAGUGAAGUAAAUAACUGUUCUCAGAAUCAAUGGUAAAAUUAUGCAUUUAAGUAUUUUGCAUCUCUGUGUAGACAAUGUGCUAAAUAUAUUGCAGUCACCGUAAAAAGUAAUGGAAUGCUUAUACUGAGUGAGGGGUUGUG